RNAcentral lists this long non-coding RNA (4423 nucleotides) under Manihot esculenta (cassava). RNAcentral describes it as "long non-coding RNA (MESC_LNC012885)". Lineage: Eukaryota; Viridiplantae; Streptophyta; Magnoliopsida; Malpighiales; Euphorbiaceae. The record is from RNAcentral.
UAAUAAGUCAAUGGUGAUUGCUAGCAUGGUAUACUAAUUUUUUUUCCUCUUUAAUAAUUUUAUGCUUCAGGAAUUGCUACCUAGGAGAUCUGUCAUUGGAUGUCACAGGAUAAUUGUAGGAGAAGGGAAUCUGGAUAAACAGGUGAAGGGUUGUGAAUUUCAUACAUCUCUCUCCUGAACAUAUUCAGCGUACAAGGAAAUUGAUCUAUAGUGCUAACGAGGGUUCUUGAUUUGAAUUAUACACAAUCAGAGUGAAAGCAGUUACAAGGAUUUUGUGUAAGGUUUGAGAUUUGAAUUUCCUUUUUGUCUUUUGUUACUUCUUUUAAAUUAGCGAUAAACUUAGGUUCCUUCUUGGCAUUUGAGUGAGGUGUAAAAUCAGAUUGCGGAAUAUAUACUCAGGAAGAUUGGUUCCCAUAGAAGUGUUGUGCAUCUCCGGCGCGGCAUGCCAGUGGUAGUACACUUUAAAAAAAAAAAAAAUAGGGUAUUAAAUUUUUUCUAUUUUUUUCUUUUUGAGUAAUGCCUGAAGAAGGUGCUGGUUGGUGUUCGUAUAUUUUUCUUUCUCUUUAUUUGGGAUUUGUCUGUCUACCAGAGAUUGUAUGCAAGCUUCUGUUUGAUCUACUUGUGUGAAACAUUAAGGGAUUCUCUUUCAUGUUCCCCUGCAAAUAAGUUACAAAUAUUCCGAUUCAUUUUUUAUUCGACGGUGUAUCAGAACAAUUUAGAUGAAUAUUAGACUUCAUUUGUGGUUGCUGCAGUUGAUCAGCUGCUAUUAAUAUCUGGAUUUUAUCACAGUAUGUUUAUGAACCAUGUCUGCAUUCUAAUGUACUUUAUAAUGAUGAUGAAGUUAGCUGUGGUAAGGUUGAGAAUCCCAACUGGCUAGAAUAUUGGGAUUUUUUUUUUUUUUUUUUUGCAUGCCUACAACUAUGCAUUUAAAGCCUUUUUGGUAGUAUCUAUCAUGGGUUUCCAUCUGCUAAUAGCUAUUCAAUUUCUGAUCUUUGAGAGCUAUUCUGUGUGGUCAUUCCAUCUCUUAUCCAAACCUCUAAUUGGAUAUGUUUUGCUUCAACUUGAAAUCAUUUUCUCCUGAAUUUUUCAUUUUUAUAAUUACCUCAAAACACAUAUUAUAUGCGGUCCUCCUCCUCUCUCUCUCUCUCUUUCUGUCUCUCUCUGACACAGAAUUUGUGAAUUUGAAACCUGUACUGAUGAUUUUCAGGACAUAAUUUUUCUUUGUUACUUCUACUUUUUCCUUGUUAUUUUUCUUCCAUAAUUUUGCCCUUUUUUUUCUUUGAAAUCUACUAGGACUCAAAUGUAAAACCUUAUAAUAGAUCUUAAACAAUUUCAAUAUUAUUGAGCUAAAUUUGUUUGAAAAUCUGAAAAAAAAAAGAAGGAAUUUAAACAAUGUUAAAUAGUUCAGUUCAAUUGGAUAUACAUCUAGUCAAAUCAAGGUUCAGCAUCAUUUUCUAGGAUUUAACUUGACAUGAUAAACUCCAAUUGAGGGAUUAGAAUGUAAUUGUCUGUUAUAGCAUCCACCAUAACCCAAACUUUUUGCAGAAAUGGACUAUUUAGGGGUUUCAAUUGUGGCUAAGGCCUAGAGGGACCAAGUCAGGGUCCAUUGAUGUGGACUUGGGUCCAUGAAUCUUUGGGUGCAGGAACCAUAGCUGAGGUCAUUGAUUUGAUUUUGCCUUUUGAAAGUUGUAUGUAUUUUGAUUCUUAGGAACAAUUAAUGCCCAAAUCUCAUCAUCUAAAAAUCCCUUUUUCCCCCAUUUCAAAAAAAAAACCCUUUUCCCCCUCUUUUUUACAGGAACAUCUAAAACUACAUUAGCAAACCCACCAUUGCCUUUUCUACUUUAUGUACUGUAGUAUUCUUUUAGGGGACCAAGAUGGCAAGAAACACAUUUUGGACGGUCCUGAUCAUCGCUGGGUGGGGACAGGUGGGUCCAUCACACCCUUGACAGUUGACCAUUACCAUUGAGGGCCCCAUUAUGAGCUGCUGCCAGCAAAUCCAGAAGGAUGACUGACAGGUGCCAUGUCUCAUGGGGUGUUUGGUUGGAAGAAUAUCUUAGAUUUGGUGCACAUUUUUUUCGUUCUACUACUACUUCUCUCUCAAACUUAAUAUUAUAUUCAUUAAAAGGGCCACCAGGCCUACAAACAAAGAAAUAAGCCCUUGGCCAAACAAUACACCAGCCCAUGGAUCUAUANNNNNNNNNNNNNNNNNNNNNNNNNNNNNNNNNNNNNNNNNNNNNNNNNNNNNNNNNNNNNNNNNNNNNNNNNNNNNNNNNNNNNNNNNNNNNNNNNNNNNAAAAGGCCACCAGGCCUACAAACAAAGAAAUAGGCCCUCGGCCAAACAAUACACCAGCCCAUGGAUCUAUAGCCUUAAAAAAAAAACAAUUCGAGAUAUCCAAACUCUAGACCCAAAAAAGCUACUCGACCCGACACUCAGACUCGAGACCACUCCAAAAAAACGCAUUGCACCAACACCUCUGAUUCCUCCGGCUGCCAUUGUUGGUUGGACCAUGGUUAGAAAAGGGUUAACUCUAUUAAUCGUAGCCAAGGCUAUGAUAAACAAAAAGGAGAAAACUGGCAUCGCCAAACAACCCAUAGUCAAGCCUCUAGAUUCAAAGGAAAGCAGACACUCACUACAAGAAACACAUACACUGCUAGAUUAGGUGUUAGCAACGGACACCAAAUGCCAAGGAGGAAGUUGAACCUAGACCUUUUGCUUCUUUCAUUGUUUACCUUCACCUACUCUCUCAGUUUUGAGUGAAUUACUAUAAUUAAAUUUUCUUUACAAUAAAUUUCACUGUGAUAUUAAUUCAAAAUACACAAUUUAAUUAAGUCCAUAUAAUUCAUAUUUAGUAUAGUUUCUAAUUUUAGUUUAUUUACUUUUAUUUCCUUAAUUAUCAUGAAGAGUAAAAUUAAAAAGUUAUAAUUUUCCAUUCUAUAAAAAAUAGUAUACGUAAUAAAUAAAUUUUUAACAAUUAAUAAGUAUCAUAUGUUAAUAAAUAUAAAAUAAACCAAUAUAGGAGACAUACAAUAACUUAACUUGUGUCAUUAUUAAGUUCAUGACAAGUUUAAAUAUUUCUAAGUAAUAGAAAAAUAAAAUAUUUUAAAUUGUUGUUUGCAUGAGAUAUAAAAAUAAUUCAAUAUGGUAUUUUAAUUUAAAAAAAUAUUAUUAUAUAAAUUUAAUAAAAUUCAAAAUUAAUAUUUAAUUCUCACUAGCUAAAUUUCAAUUCCGUUUGAAUCCAGACAUCUUCAUAUAGAAUAACGAAUAUGAAGCUACCCAAAAAGCCAAAAAAAGAAAAAAAAGCCAUCUCAAAAUAAGCAUCAAUGGCGUCUCUCCAUCAGGAUAGAACUUGGAGGGCAGUUGGGAUACUACAUUGAUGUUCUUGCCUGCUCCACCAAGAAUUUGAUGGAUAACCCAUUCAUCAGCGCUCGUAAUUCCUGCAAUCCAAUUAUCCAAACUCAGCGUCAGGGUGUUGCUGAAUGUAACUUAUGCAGGUUGAUAACAAAAGGCAGUGAAAAGUUUGGCUCCACAUAUGGAUAAAAACAAAAAUCAUGGCAUUUGCUGUCAAGAUAGGAGCUCGUCUAGCAUCCGGAAUGGGAGAAAUAGUACUAGAUUUUAGCAGAGAAGUUGCUAAUCUGAUUGGCUCUUCCCUUGUGUAUGGGCCUGCAGGAGCAGUUGCCGCUGGAGAUGCGGGGGGCUGCAGCUAUGGGAAUGGAACAAGUGAACAGAAUCCAGAGCAGAAGCAAGAAUGUAAAAAGCUCGAGGGACAUCAAGAAGAUGCAAAGAGCAAACAAAUUGCAGAGAAGUUCAGAUUGAGAAGAGUGAGGUACGAGGAUGAUGAACAAAUUGCAUGGCUCGAAGGAGCAAACAAAACAAUUUAAGUACCCAUCGAAACUGUGAAUGUGCCAGGAGCAUGAAAAAGUUUAAAUUUUUUAGCACUUCUCGUUGUUAUUUAUGCCUUUUCUUUUAUGGGAAUUCUUGUAAUGCUCCUAAAACUUCUUGUAAUUGGUUCAACUUAAGGAAGCAAAAGCUUCGUUUAUCAGAAUCUCACAAAAGCGAAUCGUGGAUUCUCCAGCCUUGUCUAUCUUGUGCCUUAAAUAGCCAUGUGAAUGUGAGUCCUUCUAAUGUAUUCAUCAUUCUUAUGUAAAAAGAAAGAAUUUUGAUCUCGUAAUCACUGAAAGUUGAUGAAACAAGCAAGAACAGAGUGAAGCGAGUAAAAAUUGAAAAGGAAAUUUCCAUGUACACUAACAGCAGUUGUUAUAAAACGAAGUUGAUGAUAACACAUGGAAUUCAUGAUUUCCCGUCCUAACUCAUCUAAACAUCUGAAAAUACAAAAGGAAAACACCACACUACAUGAUUCAUUAUUAGAUUUCACUAUUAGUAUUAGUCUCCGUGCUACAAACUAAAGUCACCUGUGUGUUCUCC